This 220-nucleotide long non-coding RNA is filed under the name Manihot esculenta (cassava). Its description in RNAcentral is "long non-coding RNA (MESC_LNC002090)". The record is from RNAcentral. Lineage: Eukaryota; Viridiplantae; Streptophyta; Magnoliopsida; Malpighiales; Euphorbiaceae.
GCCCUUGAUAGAUGUAGACAAGCCCAACGAUCAUCCUUUUGCCCCUUUACCUUCUCUCCGGUUAUUACUUAACCGUUGAGAGGGUAAACUUUGAGAGCAAUUAAUGGUCGCGUCGCUCCAAAACAAAACUGUUCAGAUCAACGUUCCGUCUCAUCAUUGCCUUUCAUUUCGAAUUCUUUCUGUCUUCCGAAGAAAUUAGCUCUCUUCUGCUCUCUGUCUC